UGGAAUUCAGCCUUUGUUGGAAAUGAUCAAAGAAGGCAGCUUCCAGUUCUCUGCGCUAUGAUAAUUUUUCUGCUGAUGAUGCCGAGUUAGCAGCACAGUCUCCCAUUUAGUCUAUGGGAAUGUUGCAGUUGGCUACAACGGGAGCAAGAGCAGGACAACAGUCACAUUAUUAGCAGUAAACUCUGCACUCUGAUGUUCAGAGCAUUGCUGGUGCGAGGAGCAAGCUGUAAUUGAACCAUCUGGGACCAAUAAAGGCUUGAAUGGUACUAGAAGAACAGAGGAAAGGUACUGGAGUGACAGUCCUGGAGAACAAAGCCCAGGUGCAGCAAGCCCAAAGAUAAACAUGUCACACAGCCCUGCCGUCGUCCUCCUGCAGUCCUGAUAUGAGAAACCACCCUCAGAAAAUAAGAUGUAUUUAGUCCCCACAACCAUUCAGUUCUUGGCCUUUGUGCUGAGACCGCCAAUGAGGGAGGGGGGGAGGGGAAGGGUGCUAAUUAGUGUAAAAUCUGUGGUGCAGACG
Molecule: long non-coding RNA, 520 nt
Organism: Mauremys mutica (yellowpond turtle)
Lineage: Eukaryota; Metazoa; Chordata; Testudines; Geoemydidae
Exons: 3
Source: RefSeq, a predicted model, not a curated record